RNAcentral lists this ribosomal RNA (252 nucleotides) under uncultured bacterium. RNAcentral's name for it is "partial 16S ribosomal RNA". It matches the Rfam family "Bacterial small subunit ribosomal RNA", at positions 524 to 776 of the family's 1533-position model. The record is from RNAcentral.
UACGGGGGGGCAAGCGUUGUUCGGAAUUACUGGGCGUAAAGGGCUCGUCGGCGGCCAACUAAGUCAGACGUGAAAUCCCUCGGCUUAACCGGGGAACUGCGUCUGAUACUGGAUGGCUAGAGGUUGGGAGAGGGAUGCGGAAUUCCAGGUGUAGCGGUGAAAUGCGUAGAUAUCGGGAGGAACACCAGUGGCGAAGGCGACUACCUGGCCUGUUCUUGACGCUGAGGCGCGAAAGCUAGGGGAGCAAACGGG